AUUGAACGCUGGCGGCAUGCCUUACACAUGCAAGUCGAACGGUAACAGGUCUUCGGAUGCUGACGAGUGGCGAACGGGUGAGUAAUACAUCGGAACGUGCCCGAUCGUGGGGGAUAACGCAGCGAAAGCUGUGCUAAUACCGCAUACGAUCUACGGAUGAAAGCGGGGGAUCGCAAGACCUCGCGCGGACGGAGCGGCCGAUGGCAGAUUAGGUAGUUGGGGGGAUAAAAGCUUACCAAGCCGACGAUCUGUAGCUGGUCUGAGAGGACGACCAGCCACACUGGGACUGAGACACGGCCCAGACUCCUACGGGAGGCAGCAGUGGGGAAUUUUGGACAAUGGGCGCAAGCCUGAUCCAGCCAUGCCGCGUGCAGGAUGAAGGCCUUCGGGUUGUAAACUGCUUUUGUACGGAACGAAAAAGCUCUCUCUAAUACAGGGGGUGAAUGACGGUACCGUAAGAAUAAGCACCGGCUAACUACGUG
This 482-nucleotide ribosomal RNA is filed under the name uncultured bacterium. RNAcentral's name for it is "partial 16S ribosomal RNA". It matches the Rfam family "Bacterial small subunit ribosomal RNA", at positions 30 to 507 of the family's 1533-position model. The record is from RNAcentral.